UGACCUCGGAUCAGGUAGGAAUACCCGCUGAACUUAAGCAUAUCAAUAAGCGGAGGAA
RNAcentral lists this ribosomal RNA (58 nucleotides) under Colletotrichum truncatum. Its description in RNAcentral is "partial 28S ribosomal RNA". It matches the Rfam family "Eukaryotic large subunit ribosomal RNA", at positions 1 to 58 of the family's 3401-position model. RNAcentral also lists the same sequence under 23 other names. Lineage: Eukaryota; Fungi; Ascomycota; Sordariomycetes; Glomerellales; Glomerellaceae. The record is from RNAcentral.